GACGAACGCUGGCGGCGUGCUUAACACAUGCAAGUCGAACGGCAAGGCCGUGCUUUUGUGGUGUGCUCGGUUGGCGAACGGGUGAGUAACACGUGUGUAUCCUGCCCUUGUCUUUCGGAUAACUUCAGGAAACUGGGGCUAAUACCGUAUAGGAUCUCCUGCACCAUGGUGGGCGUUGGAAAGUCUCGGCUGUUGGGGUUGGACUCGCGGCUUAUCAGCUUGUUGGUGGGGUAGUGGCCUACCAAGCCAUUGACGGGUAGCCGGCCUGGGAGGGUGACUGGCGCCAUUGGGACUGGGGUACGGCCCAGACUGCAACGGGAGGCAACAGUGGGGAAUCUUGCACAAUGGGCGGGAGCCUGAUGCAGCAGCGCCGCGUGCGGGAUGACGGCCUUCGGGUUGUAAACCGCUUUCGCCUAUGACGCAGCGUGAGUGACGGUAAUGGAUAAAGAAGCACCGGCUAACUACGUG
This 468-nucleotide ribosomal RNA is filed under the name uncultured bacterium. RNAcentral describes it as "partial 16S ribosomal RNA". It matches the Rfam family "Bacterial small subunit ribosomal RNA", at positions 28 to 507 of the family's 1533-position model. The record is from RNAcentral.